AAGAUGGAGUAACUUAAAUAUAUAUUCUAGCAAUAACCUAGCAUAUUUAACUAUAUGGCCUCAACUAAAUAAAGUUGGCAGAAAUAUAAGAAAAAAUAAUUAAAAUCAUAGCAUGAGACUUCAACACAUCUCUCAGUAUUUGAUAGGAAGAAUAGAUACAAUCAGGAAAAGAAUAGAAAAUUUUAAUGAAAUAGUUUAACAUAAUGGGAAUAUAUAGGACACUCUGCAAACAAUUUCAGCAUAUACAUACUUUUCAAGCACAUAAAAUAUUUACAACAUUUGGCUAUUCCCUGGGCCAUAAGGCAAAUUCCAACAAAUUUUAAAGAACUGAAGUUAUGCAGAGUGAGUUCUUUGAUGGCAACAUAAGUAGGUCAGAAAACAAAAAUUAAGAAUUAUCAAUUUAUUUGGAAAGUUAGGCCUUUCCAAAUGCAAAAUUAUAAAAUUCCUUGAAGAUGACAUAGGAGACAAUCUAGGUGACCUCGGGUUUGGUAAUGACUUUUUAUCUACAACAUAAAAAGUAUGGUCCAUGAAGAAAAAAAAUUGGUAAGUUGAACUUUUACAGUAAAAACCUCAGUUCUGUGAAAGACACUGUUAGAAUAAAAAGCCACAGACAGGAAAUAUUUGCAAAACAAAGGAUUGGCAAUCAAAAACAUACAGAAAACUUAAAACUCAACAGAAAAACAACCCAGUGUUCAAAUUCAGGGGUGGCGGGGGGGGAACUAGGCAACUCACCAAAGAUAACACAAUUAGUAAAUAAACAUAUGAAAAGAUAUCUAAGAUCAUACAUGAGGGAUGAAUUUAAAGGAGAUGCCACUAUAUUCAUUAGAAUAGCUGAAGUCUAAGACCCUGAAAAUACCAAAUACUGAUGAGGAUGUGGAGCAGCAGGAACUCUUACUCACUGCUGAUGGAAAUGCAAAAACAACUUGGGAAGACAGUUGGGCAGUUUCUUAGAGAAAUACACACCUACCAUAUGAUCCAACAAUUACACUCCUUGGUAUUUAUCCAAAUGAGUUGAAAAUAUGCCCACAGGAAAACCUGCACAUAAAUGUGUAUAGCAGCUUUACUCAUAAUUGUCAAAACUUGAAAGCAACUAAGAUGUCCUUCAAUAGAUGAAUGGAUAAACUGUUACAUCUAUACAAUGGGAUAUUAAUGAGCAAUAAAAAAAAGUUAUCAAGCCAUAAAAAGACAUGAAGUAACCUUAAAUGCACAUUGCCAGGUGAAAGAAGCCAAUCUGAAAAGCCUACACACUUUAUGACUCCAAAUAAAUGACAUUCUGGAAAGGCAAACCACAUAGAGUGGUUGCCUGGGACUCAGGGGUAGGGAGGGAAGAAUAGGUAGAGCACAGAGGAUUUUUUAGGGCAGUGAAAGUGUUCUCUGAUACGGUGAUAGUGGAUACAUAUACAUGUGUCAAAAUGUACAACACAAAGAGUGAACCCUAUGUAAACUACGGACUUUAAUAAUGAAGUAUCAAAAUUAGCUCAUUAAUUAUAACAAAUAUAAUCCAUAAUACAAGAUGUUAAUUUAAAAAAACUGGUGGGAGGGGGUAAAGGGGAUUAUGGGACCUCUGUACCUUUUGCUCAAUUUUUCUGUAAACCUAAAACUGCUCUAAAAAGUGAAGUAUUAAUUUUUAAAAAAGAAUUGCUGAAGAAAGUUUUUCAAAGUAAGGAAAUAACAGAAUGAAACUUGGAAGAUGAGGAAUGAAGAACAGAAUGGGUAAACAUUUGGGUAAAUAUAAUAGGCUAUCCUUGAGUUUUAAAAAUGUGAGAUGGCUGAAAGCAAAAUUAUAUUAUCUGACAUGGUUGUCAAUGUAUGUAAAGGAAUUAUUUAAGAAAAUAAAUUAUAAAGCAGUAAGCUAAAUACCUAAGUGGCUGUAAAGUUCUUACAUUUCACUAGAAGUGUCAAACUGUUGAUACUAGUCAACUGAUGUUAUAUAUGUAUACUGUAAUCCACUGAGCAACAAAAAAUGUAUACGAAGUGAUAUAUUUAAAAACACAAUAGACAAGGCAAAACAGAACAGUAAAAAAUAAGAAAAAAAUCAGGUACCCACAGGAAGGCAGGAAAAGGGAAACAGGAAAGAAAAAAAUAUAUAAAGAAAGCAAAAAUAGAACAGCAGACUUCACUCCUAACAUGAAUGAAUAUAUAAAAUUUGAGUGUCUAAAUUGUAAUUAGAAGACAGAUUCACAGAAACUUUAAAAAUUACCGGACCAUAUGCUAUCCAUUCAAAACACAUUUCAAAUACAAUAAAUAUAGGUAGGUUUAGAAUAAAUGAAGGGAAAAACAUGUCAAGCAAAUACCAAUCCAAAAAAAAAAAAAAA
Molecule: long non-coding RNA, 2315 nt
Filed under: Homo sapiens (human)
Lineage: Eukaryota; Metazoa; Chordata; Mammalia; Primates; Hominidae
Description: HSALNT0062570
Source: RNAcentral